This 473-nucleotide unclassified non-coding RNA is filed under the name uncultured Glomus. Its description in RNAcentral is "SSU rRNA". It matches the Rfam family "Eukaryotic small subunit ribosomal RNA", at positions 569 to 1046 of the family's 1831-position model. The record is from RNAcentral. Lineage: Eukaryota; Fungi; Glomeromycota; Glomeromycetes; Glomerales; Glomeraceae.
AGCAGCCGCGGUAAUUCCAGCUCCAAUAGCGUAUAUUAAAGUUGUUGCAGUUAAAAAGCUCGUAGUUGAAUUUCGGGAUCAAUUAAUUGGUCGUGCCUCUGGUACGUACUGGUUUUAUUGGUUUCUCCCUUCUGACGAACCAUGAUGUCAUUAAUUUGGUGUCGUGGAGAAUCAGGACUGUUACUUUGAAAAAAUUAGAGUGUUUAAAGCAAGCUAACGCUUGAAUACAUUAGCAUGGAAUAAUGAAAUAGGACGUUUGAUCCUAUUUUGUUGGUUUCUAGGAUCGACGUAAUGAUUAAUAGGGAUAGUUGGGGGCAUUAGUAUUCAAUUGUCAGAGGUGAAAUUCUUGGAUUUAUUGAAGACUAACUACUGCGAAAGCAUUUGCCAAGGAUGUUUUCAUUAAUCAAGAACGAAAGUUAGGGGAUCGAAGACGAUCAGAUACCGUCGUAGUCUUAACCAUAAACUAUGCCGAC